CCCUUAGAUGUUCUGGGCCGCACACGCGCUACACUGAAGGAGGCAGCGUGUACUCCUGGAUCGAAAGAUUUGGGUAACCCGCGAAUCUCCUUCGUGCUAGGGAUUGAGGUUUGCAAUUAUCCUUCAUGAACGAGGAAUUCCUAGUAAGUGCAAGUCAUAAGCUUGCGCUGACUACGUCCCUGCCCUUUGUACACACCGCCCGUCGCUACUACCGAUUGAAUGAUUUAGUGAGGACUUCGGACUGGGACCGAUGCGGCUUUCGGGCUGCGUCGGUAUUCUGGAAAGAUGUCCAAACUGUAUCAUUUAGAGGAAGUAAAAGUCGUAACA
Molecule: ribosomal RNA, 327 nt
Filed under: uncultured eukaryote
Lineage: Eukaryota
Description: partial 18S ribosomal RNA
Rfam family: Eukaryotic small subunit ribosomal RNA
Source: RNAcentral